GUGAGGGCUUCUAUGUGGCCCCCCGACUCCAUUUUAUUAGAGUUUGGCAUAAGUGACUCCAUUUUGGUUCCAGCAACUUUCACAUAAGGAAACUGAGGCUCAGAGAAGUCAAGGGACUUGCCCCCAGGUCCCACUAACACUGUGCAGUGGAGUGAUGCAAACCCCAGUUUUCCCAGUGGAUGGAGCUGCUGUGGGUGAGUGCAGGGUGCGGUGUGAACCAGAGGGGUGGUGCAGAGACCAGUGUGGGAUGUGAGAGGAUCC
RNAcentral lists this long non-coding RNA (261 nucleotides) under Homo sapiens (human). RNAcentral describes it as "non-protein coding lnc-NDUFV1-6:1". Lineage: Eukaryota; Metazoa; Chordata; Mammalia; Primates; Hominidae. The record is from RNAcentral.